RNAcentral lists this ribosomal RNA (412 nucleotides) under uncultured prokaryote. RNAcentral describes it as "bacterial SSU rRNA". It matches the Rfam family "Bacterial small subunit ribosomal RNA", at positions 505 to 918 of the family's 1533-position model. The record is from RNAcentral.
GUGUCAGCCGCCGCGGUAAUACAGAGAGUGCAAGCGUUAAUCGGAAUUACUGGGCGUAAAGCGCGCGUAGGUGGAUUAUUAAGUCGGAUGUGAAAGCCCUGGGCUUAACCUGGGAACUGCAUCCGAUACUGGUAAUCUAGAGUAUGGUAGAGGGAAGUGGAAUUUCCGGUGUAGCGGUGAAAUGCGUAGAUAUCGGAAGGAACACCAGUGGCGAAGGCGGCUUCCUGGACCAAUACUGACACUGAGGUGCGAAAGCGUGGGGAGCAAACAGGAUUAGAGACCCUGGUAGUCCACGCUGUAAACGAUGAGAACUAGGCGUUGGGAGGAUUCCUCUUAGUGCCGAAGCUAACGCGUUAAGUUCUCCGCCUGGGGAGUACGGCCGCAAGGUUAAAACUCAAAUGAAUUGGCGGGG